This 3246-nucleotide long non-coding RNA is filed under the name Olea europaea subsp. europaea. Lineage: Eukaryota; Viridiplantae; Streptophyta; Magnoliopsida; Lamiales; Oleaceae. The record is from RNAcentral.
GUUUGUAGAAUAAAUAAUUAUACAUUAUUUACAUGAAAAAAAGACGUCGGGCCUUAUUUUUCAGCCAGCCUAGACAUAAGGGCCUGCUGUUUCCCGCCGACCUUGACGUUCUAGGCCGGCUAGAAACAUCCAACCCUUAUGUCUGGGCCGAUUGUUUCCUGUCGGCCUCGGACCUUUUUUUUAAUAAUAUUUAAGUAUUUAUUUUAUAAUUUAUUUAUUUAUAUUUCAUGAAUUAUGUUAAUUGUUUAUAUGUAUAUUAUUUAUUGAAGUAAAUAAAUAACUAAUUGAAAUAAAUAUUAAUGAAAUAAUUAAAAUAAUCAAUGAAUUAUUUUAAGUAAAAAAUUAAAUUAAAUAUGAAAUGAACAAUUAAAAAAAUUAUAUAUUAAUUCCUUAUGUUUAAUCUAUUUUCUAAUUUUUUAAAUUUGUGGCAGUUAUGGUAUCAGCAUGUAUCCCAAUUUGUUAUUUCGGUAAAUUUCAAAAGAGUGAAAUUGCUUAGUGAGAAUGAAAAUGGACGAGUGAAGGAGAUGGGGUUAAAGCAAUUUUUGUAACAAGGAGUACAUCGUUUACAGAAAAAUGUACAAAACAUUCUUAACGUCGAUUCCUCUCAGUAUGAUAUGGGAUUGGAAUUUUUAUUUCAUAAGCAUUCAACCAUUUCGAUUCCAUCUAUGAGAGUUACUUUUGAAGUGAAGAUGAAGCAUCUAAUUAAAUUAAACCAAGGUCAAAAGUCGACUCCUAUUUGCCUAACUUUAUUGAGGAAGAAUGUUCCCAAAAGUGAACACGAAAUUUUCGAUGAAGGGAAUCUUAAUGUAAAUGAUGUUUGGGAUACAAUUCAGAUUGUUCAUGAAGAUGAUGUGGUUAUUCCCCAGACAAUUACUACUCACCAUGAUCACACUGUUACGCAUAGAAUUUCCUCGACAGUUGAAGACAACGAGAAUGAAAAACGCAUUUACAAAUAAAAAUUCGAUUGCUUUAUCCCAUAUGAGACAUGAGUCGAGUGGGAGCUCACAGGCCGGAUCGAGUACAUGGUCCUCUAAUUGCUCGUGUGUGGUUCCAGAUGACGAAAAUGUAUAUGUCGAGCAACUGUUUGAAUCAAAAAAUGAAUUGCAGAAAGUUGUGCACCGAAUUGCUUUGAAACAUAACUUUGAGUUUAAAGUGAAGAAAUCAAACAAGUCGACGUACACAAUUAUCUGUGUUGACGAUAGUUGCCAUUGGCAUUUGUGAGCAAUGAAGAUGGACACGAAUGAGUUCUUUGUGGUUCGUAAGUAUGCACGGGAACAUACUUGCGAAGUGGGUAUUCGUCAAAAUAAUCACAAGCAGACCCGAUCAUUGUUCAUUGGUCGAGAAAUAAUGCACAAUUUUCAUGACCCACGAACUAUCUACAGACCUUCAGACAUCAUUAAUGAUGUUAGACAAGAAUACGGGAUGGUCAUGAGUUAUCAGAAAGCUUGGAAGGUCAAAGAAUGCGCAUUAGAGGACUUGAUGGUUCGACCGAGGAGAGUUAUGUUAAAUUGGCCAAAGUAUUUCAUUAUUUAGGUGUUUAUUUCUAUGUUAUUUUAAAUAUUAAUUAUUUUAUUUCAAUUAUUUAUGUAAUUAUGUAAUUCAAUUAUGUAUUCAAUAUGUAAUUAAUUAUUUAAUUGAAUUGUUUAUUUUUCUUUUAAUUUAAUAUUUAAUUGAUUAUCUAAAUUAUGAUUAUUGUUUAUUUACAUUGGUCCGGUAUUACUAUAACAUGGGAAGCAUUAAUACUGAAUCAUCAUUUUUUAUUAAGAAGGAUGACGAUAAUCACUUCAAGUAUUUCUUUACGGCCCUUGGACAAUGCGUUCGAGGAUUUCGAAACGCAAUGUGAUCCCUAAUCCUAGUCAACAGUACAACCCUUAAGGUGAGUUGCAGGGGUAAGUUGAUUAUUGCAACAUGUCAAGAUACCAACAUCCAAAUUUAACCUUUUAAAUUCGGCUCAGUCGACAGAGAAAAUGAUCUAACGAUGAGUUGGUUUUUCACGAAGUUGAAGGAAGUAAUUGGAGAUGUCGAGAACCUUGCAUUCGUAACCGAUCAAGGGCAGUCAAUAAUAAAUGGUAUCGCCGAAAUUUUUCCCGAAGCACAUCAUGAUUAUUAUAUGUACCAUAUACAGGGAAACCUGAAGACCAGGUAUCGAGGCAAGGGUAUCAUUGCAUUGUUUAGUAGAGCUGUAGAGUUUUACAAUUUUGAAGAGUUUGAGAAGUUUAUGGUCGAAAUAGAUAGUAAAUCGCAUGCUGCAUGGGAGUAUCUAACAGAGAUGAGGAUUGAACAUUGGACACGAUCACAUUUUUCAAGACGUCGAUACAAUAUGAUGAUAUCGAACAAUGCGGAGUCGCUUAAUACCUUAUCUAAGAAAGAUCGAGAGUUAUCAAUUCUCGCAAUGAUUGAAAACAUUCAUGACAAGACAACAGUGAUUUCAUGAUCGACGUGAAGAAUCACAGAGUUGCACAAGUGUGCUAACCCCGGUUCAGGAAGCUAAACUCUUCAAAACUCUAGAUGUGGCGAGAAAGGUAUAUAUAGAACCACUGGAUCAGUUUUGCUCCUCCGUGAGAUGUGCAUGUAAUUUCGGAUACAUCGUGGACUUGAAUGAUAACAAGUGCACAUGUAGACAGUUUCAGUUGGAGAAUUUUCCUUACAUACAUGCAGUGGCUAUAUUUAGAGGAUUUCCAUGACACCUUAUGUAGUGCUUAUUACAUGACUGAUUAUUGGAGAGCAGCGUAUUCCAAAAUAAUAUUUUCCUGUACCAAAUGAAGUCGAAUGAAAAGUUUUUGAUCACAUUCUCUCACCGAAUAACUUGUUACCACAGCAGUCGGACCACGUACUCCUGGACGUACACUGUAAUUAUUUAUAACAUUGAUGUUAAUUAUUUAUCGAAGAAUUUAUAACUUGUCUAGAAUAUCAUCUAUCGAAGAAUUUCCCCAACAUUGUAAGUGCGGUGUAACAGUGCAUGCUAGAAAAAUAUUGUACAAAAUAGAUUCCUCUGCAUGACAAUGUAAUAGAUGUGUAAUUUUACAUUUGUUAAUAAAAUAUCGACAGUGUAAUUAUUUAUAACCUUGAUAUUAAUUAUUUAUGCAUAUUAUUUAAGUUAAUUAUUAGAUUUAAUUUUUUUAUUUAAACAUUUCGUUAAUUAGUUCCAUUGGCUAUGCACAUUAUUUAUGUUAAUUAUUUGAAAUCGUAGUAUUCGAAUUGUUUUUAAACACACUACGCUCUCCACAAUACACACAAACAUUAUAA